RNAcentral lists this ribosomal RNA (486 nucleotides) under uncultured bacterium. RNAcentral's name for it is "partial 16S ribosomal RNA". It matches the Rfam family "Bacterial small subunit ribosomal RNA", at positions 30 to 507 of the family's 1533-position model. The record is from RNAcentral.
AUUGAACGCUGGCGGCAUGCCUUACACAUGCAAGUCGAACGGCAGCACGGGUGCUUGCACCUGGUGCCGAGUGGCGAACGGGUGCGUAUUACAUCUGCACAUGUCCCUUCGUGGGGGAUAGCCCGGAGAAAGCCGGACUAACACUGCAUACGAACACCGGAUAAAAGUGGGAGCCCUUCGGGCUUCGCGCUUUCGGGUUGGCCGGUGGCGGAUUAGCUAGUUGGUGGGGUAAAGGCCUACCAAGGCGACGAUCAGUAGCUGGUCUGAGAGGACGACCAGCCACACUGGGACUGAGACACGGCCCAGACUCCUACGGGAGGCAGCAGUGGGGAAUUUUGGACAAUGGGCGAAAGCCUGAUCCAGCAAUGCCGCGUGUGUGAAGAAGGCCUUCGGGUUGUAAAGCACUUUUGUCGGGAAAGAAAAGCUUGGCCCUAAUACGGUCGGGUGAUGACGGUACCGAAAGAAUAAGCACCGGCUAACUACGUG